RNAcentral lists this ribosomal RNA (253 nucleotides) under uncultured bacterium. RNAcentral describes it as "partial 16S ribosomal RNA". It matches the Rfam family "Bacterial small subunit ribosomal RNA", at positions 524 to 776 of the family's 1533-position model. The record is from RNAcentral.
UACGGAGGGAGCUAGCGUUAUUCGGAAUUACUGGGCGUAAAGCGCACGUAGGCGGCUUUGUAAGUUAGAGGUGAAAGCCUGGAGCUCAACUCCAGAACUGCCUUUAAGACUGCAUCGCUUGAAUCCAGGAGAGGUGAGUGGAAUUCCGAGUGUAGAGGUGAAAUUCGUAGAUAUUCGGAAGAACACCAGUGGCGAAGGCGACUCACUGGACAGGUAUUGACGCUGAGGUGCGAAAGCGUGGGGAGCAAACAGG